Molecule: ribosomal RNA, 253 nt
Filed under: uncultured bacterium
Lineage: Bacteria
Description: partial 16S ribosomal RNA
Rfam family: Bacterial small subunit ribosomal RNA
Source: RNAcentral
UACGAAGGGGGCUAGCGUUGCUCGGAAUCACUGGGCGUAAAGCGCACGUAGGCGGAUUGUUAAGUCGGGGGUGAAAUCCUGGAGCUCAACUCCAGAACUGCCUUCGAUACUGACGAUCUCGAGUCCGGGAGAGGUGAGUGGAACUCCGAGUGUAGAGGUGAAAUUCGUAGAUAUUCGCAAGAACACCAGUGGCGAAGGCGGCUCACUGGCCCGAUACUGACGCUGAGGCACGAAAGCGUGGGGAGCAAACAGG